UACGGAGGGUGCAAGCGUUAUUCGGAAUUAUUGGGCGUAAAGGGCGCGUAGGCGGCCUGACAAGUGGAAGGUGAAAUCCCUCGGCUUAACCGAGGAACUGCCCUCCAAACUGUCUGGCUUGAGACCGGGAGAGGUGAGUGGAAUUCCCAGUGUAGCGGUGAAAUGCGUAGAUAUUGGGAGGAACACCAGUGGCGAAGGCGGCUCACUGGACCGGUACUGACGCUGAUGCGCGAAAGCGUGGGGAGCAAACGGG
This 253-nucleotide ribosomal RNA is filed under the name uncultured bacterium. Its description in RNAcentral is "partial 16S ribosomal RNA". It matches the Rfam family "Bacterial small subunit ribosomal RNA", at positions 524 to 776 of the family's 1533-position model. The record is from RNAcentral.